Molecule: ribosomal RNA, 1390 nt
Filed under: Burkholderia sp.
Lineage: Bacteria; Pseudomonadati; Pseudomonadota; Betaproteobacteria; Burkholderiales; Burkholderiaceae
Description: bacterial SSU rRNA
Rfam family: Bacterial small subunit ribosomal RNA
Source: RNAcentral
GUCGAACGGCAGCACGGGGNGCAACCCUGGUGGCGAGUGGCGAACGGGUNNNNNNNNNNUCGGAACGUGUCCUGUAGUGGGGGAUAGCCCGGCNAAAGCCGGAUUAAUACCGCAUACGCUCUACGGAGGAAAGGGGGGGAUCUUAGGACCUCCCGCUACAGGGGCGGCCGAUGGCAGAUUAGCUAGUUGGUGGGGUAAAGGCCUACCAAGGCGACGAUCUGUAGCUGGUCUGAGAGGACGACCAGCCACACUGGGACUGAGACACGGCCCAGACUCCUACGGGAGGCAGCAGUGGGGAAUUUUGGACAAUGGGCGAAAGCCUGAUCCAGCAAUGCCGCGUGUGUGAAGAAGGCCUUCGGGUUGUAAAGCACUUUUGUCCGGAAAGAAAACCUCCGCCCUAAUAUGGUGGGGGGAUGACGGUACCGGAAGAAUAAGCACCGGCUAACUACGUGCCAGCAGCCGCGGUAAUACGUAGGGUGCAAGCGUUAAUCGGAAUUACUGGGCGUAAAGCGUGCGCAGGCGGUCCGCUAAGACAGAUGUGAAAUCCCCGGGCUUAACCUGGGAACUGCAUUUGUGACUGGCGGGCUAGAGUAUGGCAGAGGGGGGUAGAAUUCCACGUGUAGCAGUGAAAUGCGUAGAGAUGUGGANGGAAUACCGAUGGCGAAGGNCAGCCCCCUGGGCCAAUACUGACGCUCAUGCACGAAAGCGUGGGGGAGCAAACAGGAUUAGAUACCCUGGUAGUCCACGCCCUAAACGAUGUCAACAAGUUGUUGGGGAUUCAUUUCCUUAGUAACGUAGCUAACGCGUGAAGUUGACCGCCUGGGGAGUACGGUCGCAAGAUUAAAACUCAAAGGAAUUGACGGGGACCCGCACAAGCGGUGGAUGAUGUGGAUUAAUUCGAUGCAACGCGAAAAACCUUACCUACCCUUGACAUGUAUGGAACCCUGCUGAGAGGUGGGGGUGCCCGAAAGGGAGCCAUAACACAGGUGCUGCAUGGCUGUCGUCAGCUCGUGUCGUGAGAUGUUGGGUUAAGUCCCGCAACGAGCGCAACCCUUGUCCCUAGUUGCUACGCAAGAGCACUCUAGGGAGACUGCCGGUGACAAACCGGAGGAAGGUGGGGAUGACGUCAAGUCCUCAUGGCCCUUAUGGGUAGGGCUUCACACGUCAUACAAUGGUCGGAACAGAGGGUCGCCAACCCGCGAGGGGGAGCCAAUCCCAGAAAACCGAUCGUAGUCCGGAUCGCACUCUGCAACUCGAGUGCGUGAAGCUGGAAUCGCUAGUAAUCGCGGAUCAGCAUGNCGCGGUGAAUACGUUCCCGGGUCUUGUACACACCGCCCNNNNNNNCAUGGGAGUGGGUUUUCCCAGAAGUGGNUAGUCUNNCCGCAAGGAG